CUUUAAUGGUUGAGUUUACUAUCCUUUUGUUAAUUCUCUUGCUUAGAAAUGCAGUCAAUUUUUGUGGAAGGAUAGGAGGAGUUUUCUGAGAACAAAAAGAAAAAGAAGAAAAAAAUAAUUUAAGGAGGGAGGGGGGAAAAGCAGAAACUAUUGAAAAGCCACUAUAUGCUAAAGAUUGAGCAUGUAGGCUACCAUUCGCCGCGGGCCGCGCCCCUCCAACAACAACCAAAAAAAAGAAAAAAAAAAGAAAUAAACACACAUACACGCUGG
RNAcentral lists this unclassified non-coding RNA (270 nucleotides) under Hevea brasiliensis (rubber tree). Lineage: Eukaryota; Viridiplantae; Streptophyta; Magnoliopsida; Malpighiales; Euphorbiaceae. The record is from RNAcentral.